This 407-nucleotide ribosomal RNA is filed under the name uncultured bacterium. Its description in RNAcentral is "partial 16S ribosomal RNA". It matches the Rfam family "Bacterial small subunit ribosomal RNA", at positions 355 to 774 of the family's 1533-position model. The record is from RNAcentral.
UGGGGAAUAUUGCACAAUGGGCGGAAGCCUGAUGCAGCAACGCCGCGUGCGGGAUGACGGCCUUCGGGUUGUAAACCGCUUUCGCCUGUGACGAAGCGUGAGUGACGGUAAUGGGUAAAGAAGCACCGGCUAACUACGUGCCAGCAGCCGCGGUGAUACGUAGGGUGCGAGCGUUGUCCGGAUUUAUUGGGCGUAAAGGGCUCGUAGGUGGUUGAUCGCGUCGGAAGUGUAAUCUGGGGGCUUAACCCUGAGCGUGCUUUCGAUACGGGUUGACUUGAGGAAGGUAGGGGAGAAUGGAAUUCCUGGUGGAGCGGUGGAAUGCGCAGAUAUCAGGAGGAACACCAGUGGCGAAGGCGGUUCUCUGGGCCUUUCCUGACGCUGAGGAGCGAAAGCGUGGGGAGCGAACA